This 645-nucleotide ribosomal RNA is filed under the name Bjerkandera adusta. Its description in RNAcentral is "eukaryotic LSU rRNA". It matches the Rfam family "Eukaryotic large subunit ribosomal RNA", at positions 38 to 667 of the family's 3401-position model. The record is from RNAcentral. Lineage: Eukaryota; Fungi; Basidiomycota; Agaricomycetes; Polyporales; Phanerochaetaceae.
GCAUAUCAAUAAGCGGAGGAAAAGAAACUAACAAGGAUUCCCCUAGUAACUGCGAGUGAAGCGGGAAAAGCUCAAAUUUAAAAUCUGGCGGUCUUCGGCCGUCCGAGUUGUAAUCUGGAGAAGCGUUUUCCGCGCUGGACCGUGUACAAGUCUCUUGGAACAGAGCGUCAUAGAGGGUGAGAAUCCCGUCUUUGACACGGACUACCAGUGCUAUGUGAUGCGCUCUCGAUGAGUCGAGUUGUUUGGGAAUGCAGCUCAAAAUGGGUGGUAAAUUCCAUCUAAAGCUAAAUAUUGGCGAGAGACCGAUAGCGAACAAGUACCGUGAGGGAAAGAUGAAAAGCACUUUGGAAAGAGAGUUAAACAGUACGUGAAAUUGCUGAAAGGGAAACGAUUGAAGUCAGUCGCGUGUGCUAGAACUCAGCCUUGCUUUUGCUUGGUGCAUUUUCUAGUGUACGGGCCAGCAUCAGUUUUGGCCGCCGGAAAAAGGCCUUGGGAAUGUGGCACCUUCGGGUGUGUUAUAGCCCUUGGUUGUAUACGGUGGCUGGGACUGAGGAACAUAGCAUGCCUUUACGGCGGGGCUUCGGCCACCUUCAUGCUUUGGAUGCUGGCGUAAUGGCUUUAACGACCCGUCUUGAAACACGGACC